RNAcentral lists this ribosomal RNA (253 nucleotides) under uncultured bacterium. Its description in RNAcentral is "partial 16S ribosomal RNA". It matches the Rfam family "Bacterial small subunit ribosomal RNA", at positions 524 to 776 of the family's 1533-position model. The record is from RNAcentral.
UACGGGGGGGGCGAGCGUUGUUCGGAAUUACUGGGCGUAAAGGGUUUGUAGGUGGUCUGCUAAGUCAGACGUGAAAUCCCUCGGCUUAACCGGGGAACUGCAUCUGAUACUGGAUGGCUUGAGUUUGGGAGAGGGAUGCGGAAUUCCAGGUGUAGCGGUGAAAUGCGUAGGUAUCUGGAGGAACACCGGUGGCGAAGGCGGCAUCCUGGACCAACACUGACACUGAGGAGCGAAAGCCAGGGGAGCAAACGGG